GACGAACGCUGGCGGCGUGCUUAACACAUGCAAGUCGAACGGUGAUGCGCCUUCCUUUUUGGUGGGUGUGGAUGAGUGGCGAACGGGUGAGUAACACGUGAGUAACCUGCCCCCUUCUUCUGGAUAACCGCAUGAAAGUGUGGCUAAUACGGGAUAUUCUGGGUCUGUCGCAUGAUGGGUCUGGGUAAGAUAUUGUUUCGGUGGGGGCUGGGCUCGCGGCCUAUCAGGUUGUUGGUGGGGUGAUGGCCUACCAAGGCGGUGACGGGUAGCCGGCCUGAGAGGGUGGACGGUCACGCGGGGACGGAGACACGGACAAGACUCCUACGAGAGGCAGCAGUGAGGAAUAUUGCACGAUGGGGGGAAGCCUGAUGCAGCGACGCCGCGUGAGGGAUGGAGGCCUUCGGGUUGUGAACCUCUUUCGCCAGUGAAGCAGGCCUGCCUCGUUUGUGGGUGGGUUGACGGUAGCUGGAUAAGAAGCGCCGGCUAACUACGUG
Molecule: ribosomal RNA, 494 nt
Filed under: uncultured bacterium
Lineage: Bacteria
Description: partial 16S ribosomal RNA
Rfam family: Bacterial small subunit ribosomal RNA
Source: RNAcentral